UAUAUCUUAAUUUUACUAAUGAUGUUUAAUUUUUGUGUUAAUGCCUUUUGAUCACAUCUUAAUUAGUUUUAAUGCUUCUUUAAUCUCUUGACAUGUCAUUUUGGAUAUGUGUUGUUCAGCACCUUGGGCUUCCAUAACGGAAGUGGAAGGUCUUAUAUAGAAAAGUUUGAUUGAUUCAUUGACCCAACAGUUUCUUAUGCUGUUUGCAUUAUUUUUGUAGUUAUAAACCCCACAGAAAAGGCUCCAUCUGCUGCUCCUGUUUUUCAAGAGGUUUCACAUGGAUCUGCUGGCAUCCCUGUAGCUAUAGUGUUAAUUAUAAUUGCUUUAGUUGGACUUGGGGCCUUCUUCCUGUUCCGUAAUCGAAUACAAAUACCCACACCUGUCCUGGGAGAGUGCACGUUUGACAACAAGCUCUACUUCAACAAUCCAAACCGAGCUCCUGUGGACACUAAAGGCUUGGUGGUCAACAUAGAGCAGAACGAACAAGCACAGAAAACAUGAGACUAAAAAGACUUUGGAAAAGAUCUUAAAGAAAUGCUCCAGUGUUAUUUUCAUCUUUUUCAGAAGCAAAAAGAUGUUAAUAAAAAUUAUAAGUCUGACGUCGUACUUAAGUAAACACAAGAUUUUACAUACUGAUGUUUUUAAAAGCACAUUAAUAAAAAUAAGUUUAAUUAAUUUGCACAAACUUGUUGGGACUGUUUCAAUCAGUGCAACCAAGAACGUAUGUGUACAUGUUUAAACUCACCAAAGGUUAGCUUGUUUUAUUACAAAUCGACAGAUCUAUAAAAACUAAAGUGUUGUGAAUAUUCUCAAGGGGCUGUUUGCCACUCUCGUAUUUCCUGGUGAUUCUGUAAAUAAAUGUUAAAAUAAAUUCA
Molecule: non-coding RNA, 875 nt
Organism: Nothobranchius furzeri (turquoise killifish)
Lineage: Eukaryota; Metazoa; Chordata; Actinopteri; Cyprinodontiformes; Nothobranchiidae
Source: RefSeq, a predicted model, not a curated record